Molecule: long non-coding RNA, 220 nt
Filed under: Elaeis guineensis (African oil palm)
Lineage: Eukaryota; Viridiplantae; Streptophyta; Magnoliopsida; Arecales; Arecaceae
Description: long non-coding RNA (EGUI_LNC081414)
Source: RNAcentral
CAUGGAUGUAAUACAGAGGUCUGACUCCAAUAAGUGGCUAAAAGCUAUAAAAUCCAAAAUAGAGUCCAUAAAGUCAAUGAUGUAUGGACAUUGGUUGACCCACUUAAAAAGGAUAAAACCCAUAGGAUGUAAGUAGAUCUUCAAAAGAAAGAGGAAUGCAGAUGGAAAGGUGGUGAUCUAUAAAAUUCAUCUGGUUGCCAAGAGUUACCAUCAGCAUUAU